This 709-nucleotide ribosomal RNA is filed under the name uncultured crenarchaeote. RNAcentral's name for it is "bacterial SSU rRNA". It matches the Rfam family "Archaeal small subunit ribosomal RNA", at positions 1 to 696 of the family's 1478-position model. Lineage: Archaea; Thermoproteati; Thermoproteota. The record is from RNAcentral.
UUUGNCCCACUGUUUGUCGGGAUAGGAUUAAGACAUGCUAGUUGAGCGCUUCAGGCUAUGUUGAAGCGCAGCAUACAGCUCAGUAACACGUGGCCAACCUACCCUUGGGACGAGGACACCCCCGGGAAACUGGGGUUAAUCCUCGAUAGGUGAGAGUUUCUGGAAGGAGUUCUUGCUGAAAGGGCGUCUAAAACAUGCCUUUUAGACUUCGCCCAAGGAUGGGGCCGCGGCCGAUCAGGUAGUUGGUGAGGUAACGGCUCACCAAGCCCAUAACCGGUACGGGCUGUGAGAGCGGGAGCCCGGAGAUGGGCACUGAGACAAGGGUCCAGGCCCUACGGGGCGCAGCANUCGCGAAAACUCCGCAAUACACGAAAGUGUGACGGGGCUAACCCGAGUGCCGUCCAUAAGGAUGGCUUUUCCCUAAUGUAAUAAGCUGGGGGAAUAAGGAGAGGGCAAGACUGGUGUCAACCCGCCGCGGUAAUACCAACUUUUCNAGUGGUGGGGAUGUUUAUUGGGCCUAAAAGUAUUCGUAGCCGGCUGGGCAAAGUNCUCUUGUUAAAUNCAACGAUUCAAUCGNUGGGCUUCAAGGGAUACUGUCCGGCUNGGAAGCCGGAAGAAGCCNACGGUAUUUUCCGGGGUAAGGGUGNAAUCCUAUUAUUCCCGGGAGGACCAUCAAUGGCCAAAGGUUUCGGNUUGGAACCCCUCGACG